RNAcentral lists this non-coding RNA (23 nucleotides) under Mus musculus (house mouse). Lineage: Eukaryota; Metazoa; Chordata; Mammalia; Rodentia; Muridae. The record is from RNAcentral.
UAAAAAUCUCAUGGUGGCCAGGA